AGAACUCUGUUCAAUCCGAAGCUUUACGUUUAUCACGUAAAAGGUUUAUGUAGGAAGAAUGGAGUUUU
Clostridium sp. CAG:302 is the source of this 68-nucleotide small RNA. It matches the Rfam family "DUF3800-VIII RNA". Rfam says of the family: Bacteroidetes, Cyanobacteria, Firmicutes, Planctomycetes (1 example), Proteobacteria, Tenericutes (1 example). Nearby to DUF3800 The record is from Rfam. Lineage: Bacteria; Bacillati; Bacillota; Clostridia; Eubacteriales; Clostridiaceae.